AGAUUGAACGCUGGCGGCAUGCCUUACACAUGCAAGUCGAACGGCAGCACGGGAGCAAUCCUGGUGGCGAGUGGCGAACGGGUGAGUAAUAUAUCGGAACGUGCCCAGUAAUGGGGGAUAGCCCGGCGAAAGCCGGAUUAAUACCGCAUACGACCUACGGGUGAAAGCGGGGGAUCGCAAGACCUCGCGUUAUUGGAGCGGCCGAUAUCAGAUUAGCUUGUUGGCGGGUAAAAGCCCACCAAGGCAACGAUCUGUAGCUGGUCUGAGAGGACGACCAGCCACACUGGGACUGAGACACGGCCCAGACUCCGUACGGGAGCAGCAGUGGGAAUUUGGACAAGUGGGCGCAAGCCUGGAUCCAGCCAUGCCGCGUGUGGGAAGAAGGCCGUUCGGGUUGUAAACCUACGUUUUGU
Molecule: ribosomal RNA, 413 nt
Filed under: uncultured soil bacterium
Lineage: Bacteria
Description: bacterial SSU rRNA
Rfam family: Bacterial small subunit ribosomal RNA
Source: RNAcentral